Long non-coding RNA from Vidua chalybeata, 170 nucleotides. RefSeq lists it as uncharacterized. Lineage: Eukaryota; Metazoa; Chordata; Aves; Passeriformes; Viduidae. The record is from RefSeq and is a predicted model, not a curated record. The transcript is spliced from 3 exons.
CUGAUGACACCUGGAUAAAGGGGUGAAUACAAAUGUGAGCUACGUUGGCAUACAAUAGCAAGGUCUGGGACAUGAAGGAUGGCUGUGGACUGGGCUAAGCACUUGGGAGAGACAGAGGUGGUUGACUUGUUGGAAUCCUACAGCAGGUUUUGGAAAUCUGGAUGAAAGCU